This 258-nucleotide ribosomal RNA is filed under the name Triticum aestivum (bread wheat). RNAcentral's name for it is "partial small subunit ribosomal RNA". The record is from RNAcentral. Lineage: Eukaryota; Viridiplantae; Streptophyta; Magnoliopsida; Poales; Poaceae.
AUGCCGGCGCGCAAAGCGCCCGGACCGGACGGCUUCACUGCAGAGUUUCUGCGCGCUUGCUGGAGCAUCAGCCAGCACGACAUUUGGAGCGUUUUCAAGCUGCUGUACACACUGCGAGGGUGCGGGUUUAGUAAGCUCAACCAAGCGCUGCUUACCCUGCUGCCCAAACACGCGGAUGCUCACAAGCUCGGCGACUACCGACCGAUCUGCUUGAUCCACAUGGUGGCCAAGAUCUUCGCGAAGGUCCUGUCUUUGUGA